This 64-nucleotide transfer RNA is filed under the name Meloe proscarabaeus. RNAcentral's name for it is "tRNA-Phe". The record is from RNAcentral. Lineage: Eukaryota; Metazoa; Arthropoda; Insecta; Coleoptera; Meloidae.
AUUUAAAUAGCUUAUUAAGAGCGUGGCACUGAAGAUGCCAAGGAAACUGUUAGGUUUUUAGAUA